This 842-nucleotide ribosomal RNA is filed under the name Alexandrium fundyense. RNAcentral's name for it is "partial large subunit ribosomal RNA". Lineage: Eukaryota; Dinophyceae; Gonyaulacales; Pyrocystaceae. The record is from RNAcentral.
AUUGUGGAAAUGUAUUACCAACAGAGGUGCAGGUGCCAGCCUAUUGAAAUAAAGVGUCAAUGAGGGUGAGAAUCCUGUUUGYCAUGUGCAGCCCUUUGUGCACGGUGUAUAUUUGCUGAGUCACACUCCUUGGCAUUGGAAUGCAAAGUGGGUGGUAAGUUUCAUGUAAAGGUAAACAUGCAAUUGAGACUGAUAGCACACAAGUMCCAUGAGGGAAAUAUGAAAARGRCUUUKAAAARAGAAUUAAAUGAGUUUGUAUUUGCUGAACACAAAGUAAACAGACUUGAUUUGCUUGGUGGGAGUGUUGCACUUGCUUGACAAGAGCUUUGGGCUGUGGGUGUAAUGAUUCUUUCUUUGCAUGCCAGUUUCUAUUUGUACAUCUGAUUACCUUUGCACAUGAAUGAUAAGUCUCCUGUGGGGGGUGGAUUGCAUGUGCAUGUAAUGAUUUGUGUUUUGAUAAAUGUGUCUGGUGUAUGUGUGUGUUCCUGUGCUUGGGGAUGCUUCCUUCCUUGGACUUACAAGCCCUGACACACACAUGCUGGCAAAAUGCUUCUGCUUGACCCGUCUUGAAACACGGACCAAGGAGUCUAACAGAUGUGCAAAGUUUGAAGGUGGUAUACCUUUGUGUGCAAUGAAAGUGUCAGCUGGGAUAUGUGCACCAGCACCCAAUUAAUUAGCGGACAGAGGUUUGAGUUGGAGCAUAUCUAUUAGGACCCGAAAGAUGGUGAACUAUGCCUGAACAGAAUGAAUUCAGAGGAAACUCUGAUGGAGGUUCGUAUCGAUACUGACGUGCAAAUCGUUCGUCAUAUUUGGGUAUAGGGGCGAAAGACUAAUCGAACCAU